Macaca fascicularis (crab-eating macaque) is the source of this 1578-nucleotide long non-coding RNA. Lineage: Eukaryota; Metazoa; Chordata; Mammalia; Primates; Cercopithecidae. The record is from Ensembl.
AUGUGUCUGCGCGCGUGUGUGUGUGCCUGUGCGUGCUUGUGUGUAUGUGUACAUGCCUGCGCGUGUGUGUGUGCCUGUGUGUGCGUGCCUGUGUGUGUAUGUGUACGUGCUUGUGUGUGUGUGUGCGUGCCUGCGUGCGUGCUUGUGUGUAUGUGUACGUGCUUGUGUGUGUGUGUGUAUGCCUGUGUGUGCUUGUGUGUGUAUGUGUACGUGCUUGUGUGUGUGUGUGCGUGCCUGUGUGUGCUUGUGUAUGUGUACGUGCCUAUGUGCGUGCUUGUGUGUAUGUGUACAUGCCUGCGCGUGUGUGUGCGUGCCUGUGUGUGCUUGUGUGUGUAUGUGUACGUGCUUGUGUGUGUGUGUGCGUGCCUGUGUGUGCUUGUGUGUGUAUGUGUACGUGCUUGUGUGUGUGUGUGCGUGCCUGCGUGCAUGCUUGUGUGUAUGUGUAUGUGCCUAUGUGCGUGCUUGUGUGUGUACAUGCCUGCGCGUGUGUGUGUGUGUGCCUGUUUGUGCUUGUGUGUGUAUGUGUACGUGCUUGUGUGUGUGUGUGUGCGUGCCUGUGUGUGUGUGUGUGUGUGUAUGCGUGCUUGUGUGUGUGUUGUGCAUUGUGGUGUGUGUGUGUGUGCCUGUGUGUGCUUGUGUGUGUAUUAUGCGUGCCUAUGCGUGCGUGCUUGUGUACAUGCCUGCGCGUGUGUGUGCGUGCCUGUGUGUGCUUGUGUGUGUAUGUGUACGUGCUUGUGUGUGUGUGUGUGCGUGCCUGUGUGUGCUUGUGUGUGUAUGUGUACGUGCUUGUGUGUGUGUGUGCUGUGUGUGCUUGUGUAUGCGUGCCUAUGUGUGCUUGUGUGUAUGCAUGCCUCUGUGUGUGUGUACAUGCCUGUGUGCUGUGUAUGUAAUGCGUGCUUGUGUGUGUGUGUGUGCGUGCCUGUGUGUGGUGUGGCGUGCUUGUGUGUAUGUACAUGCCUGCGUGUGUGCGUGCCUGUGUGUGCUUGUGAAAGCCUGUGUGCUUGUGUAUUAUGCGUGCCUAUGGUGCUUGUGUGUAUGUGUACGCCUGCGUGUGUGUGCGUGCCUGUGUGCUUGUGUGUGUGUAUGCGUGCUUUGUGUGUGUGUGCGUGCCUGUGUGUGCUUGUGUGUGUAUGUGUACAUGCUUGUGUGUGCGUGCCUGUGUGUGCUUGUGUGUGUAUGCGUGCUUGUGUGUGGCCUGCGUGCAUGCUUGUAAUGCGCGUGCUUGUGUGUAUGUGUACAUGCCUGCGUGUGUGCGUGCCUGUGUGUGCUUGUGUGUGUGUAAUGCGUGCUUGUGUGUGUGUGUCGUGCCUGUGUGUGCUGUGUGUAUGCGUGCAUUAUGUCGUGCUUGUGUGUAUGUGUGCGUGCCUGUGUGCUUGUGUGUGUAAUGCGUGCUUGUGUGUGUGUGUGCGUGCCUAUGUGCGUGCUUGUGUGUAUGUGUACAUGCCUGCGCGUGUGUGUGCGUGCCUGUGUGUGCUUGUGUGUGUAUGUGUACGUGCCUAUGUGCGUGCUUGUGUGUAUGUGUACGUGCCUGUGUGUGUGCGCGUGUGUGUGUUGCAGGCCCUGGAUGCCAGACACUGA